RNAcentral lists this ribosomal RNA (569 nucleotides) under Conioscypha bambusicola. RNAcentral describes it as "LSU rRNA". It matches the Rfam family "Eukaryotic large subunit ribosomal RNA", at positions 62 to 648 of the family's 3401-position model. The record is from RNAcentral. Lineage: Eukaryota; Fungi; Ascomycota; Sordariomycetes; Conioscyphales; Conioscyphaceae.
AAACCAACAGGGAUUGCCCUAGUAACGGCGAGUGAAGCGGCAACAGCCCAGAUUUGAAAUCCGGCUCCUCUCGGGGCCCGAGUUGUAAUCUGCAGAUGGGUCUUUUGGUAGAGCGCCGCCCAAGUUCCCUGGAAUGGGACGCCUCAGAGGGUGAGAGCCCCGUACAGGCGGUUGCCGAGCCUCUGUAAAGCCCAUUCGACGAGUCGAGUAGUUUGGAAAUGCUGCUCUAAUCGCGGGGUAAACCUCCCGUAAGGCUAAAUACCGGCCAGAGACCGAUAGCGCACAAGUAGCGUGAGCGAAAGAUGAAAAGGGCCUUGAACAAGGGCGUCAAAAAGUAUGUGAAAUUGUUAUGGGGGAAGCGCUCGAUGCCAGACUCGGGGGCGGUUGGUUACCCGGCGGUCCUCGCCGGCGCACUCUGCCGCCCCUGGGCCAGCAUCAGUUCGGCGCGGGGCCUACUGCCUCGGGGAACGUGGCUCCCUCGGGAGUGUUAUAGCCUCUUGGCGACGUCCCGUGCCGGACUGAGGACCGCGCCUUCGGGCCUGGAUGCUGGCGUAAUGGCCCCUAGCGAC